This 73-nucleotide transfer RNA is filed under the name Camelus bactrianus (Bactrian camel). It matches the Rfam family "tRNA". Rfam says of the family: Transfer RNA (tRNA) molecules are approximately 80 nucleotides in length. Their secondary structure includes four short double-helical elements and three loops (D, anti-codon, and T loops). Further hydrogen bonds mediate the characteristic L-shaped molecular structure. tRNAs have two regions of fundamental functional importance: the anti-codon, which is responsible for specific mRNA codon recognition, and the 3' end, to which the tRNAs corresponding amino acid is attached (by aminoacyl-tRNA synthetases). tRNAs cope with the degeneracy of the genetic code in two manners: having more than one tRNA (with a specific anti-codon) for a particular amino acid; and 'wobble' base-pairing, i.e. permitting non-standard base-pairing at the 3rd anti-codon position. The record is from Rfam by way of RNAcentral. RNAcentral also lists the same sequence under 1 other name. Lineage: Eukaryota; Metazoa; Chordata; Mammalia; Artiodactyla; Camelidae.
GAAAGUACAGCUCAAGUGGUAGAGCACAUGCUUAGCAUGCACAAAGUCCUGGGUUCAAUCCCCAGUAUCUCCU